CCUACAUAUGCGGGGCAGUGCCUUCAUUACUGCGUUGUGUCCAACAGGUGGCCGCAGAGCUGCAGUGCUCCUGAGAGCUUUAAAGACAGCAUGGAGAUGCGUGGGUCUUCACGGCAGCAGCAAGGAGCCAGAAUCUGCAUUUCCUGGAAUGCCACGGAACCCCACUUUGCUGGCUGGUAAUUGUCUGCCCAGCAGGUGAAGAUGCCUUUGACACUUCCAGCUGAUGACUUCGCCCCGGGACACCAUCGUCUUUCCAGGCCUCCCACACUCACCGCCAGCUCAGUUUGGUCGAGUUGUUACCCGAAUCCCCAUUUCAUUCCCUUUCCAUGAUCCUCCUGUCACUCUGCCGCAAGCCCCUACCACCUCCCAAGGUCGUCGCAGGCAACGUGUGGGAUGCGGCACUCAGUCUCAUUAUAGUUCAUCCCAUCAGCCUCAGCCCAGCGAUCCAACCCUAACCCACACCCUUCCUUAGGGCCCUUCUACUCCCAGGCCAAUCAGCGCUUCCUUCUGAUGCCAUCUGCGUUCCUUCCUGGCUGCUUUAAGACUCGUGCCCCUUUGUGGCCAUUUUGAGAGUUGUGCUGAUUUCAGCGUGUGCAUUCAAUUUAUUUCAACCAAAUUGGCUUCAGUUUUACAUUCAAUUAAUGUAAACCAAAUUGGCUUUAAGUUUGCCUUGCUUAUGGGGUUGGGUUAGCUUUGCUUUGUUUGUUCCUAGGCAGGGCUAACCCAACCCUGUAACCAAGGGCCGGUGGAGGCGGUUUGUGUUCCUUCCCGGCCAGUCUGAGACUUGCGCCCCAUUGUGGCCAUUUGAAGAGUUGCGCUGAUUUCAGCGUCUGCAUUCAGUUUAUUUCAGCCAAAUUGGCUUCAGCCUUGCAGACA
Lagopus leucura (white-tailed ptarmigan) is the source of this 876-nucleotide long non-coding RNA. RefSeq lists it as uncharacterized. NCBI's taxonomy places the organism in Eukaryota, Metazoa, Chordata, Aves, Galliformes, Phasianidae. The transcript is spliced from 2 exons. The record is from RefSeq and is a predicted model, not a curated record.